ACAUGCAAGUCGAACGAUGAUCCCAGCUUGCUGGGGGAUUAGUGGCGAACGGGUGAGUAACACGUGAGUAACCUGCCCUUGACUCUGGGAUAAGCCUGGGAAACCGGGUCUAAUACUGGAUAUGACCUUCUGGCGCAUGCCAUGUUGGUGGAAAGCUUUAUUGCGGUUUUGGAUGGACUCGCGGCCUAUCAGCUUGUUGGUGGGGUAAUGGCCUACCAAGGCGACGACGGGUAGCCGGCCUGAGAGGGUGGACGGCCACACUGGGACUGAGACACGGCCCAGACUCCUACGGGAGGCAGCAGUGGGGAAUAUUGCACAAUGGGCGCAAGCCUGAUGCAGCGACGCCGCGUGGGGGAUGAAGGCCUUCGGGUUGUAAACCUCUUUCAGUAGGGAAGAAGCGAAAGUGACGGUACCUGCAGAAGAAGCGCCGGCUAACUACGUGCCAGCAGCCGCGGUAAUACGUAGGGCGCAAGCGUUAUCCGGAAUUAUUGGGCGUAAAGAGCUCGUAGGCGGUUUGUCGCGUCUGCCGUGAAAGUCCGGGGCUUAACUCCGGAUCUGCGGUGGGUACGGGCAGACUAGAGUGAUGUAGGGGAGACUGGAAUUCCUGGUGUAGCGGUGAAAUGCGCAGAUAUCAGGAGGAACACCGAUGGCGAAGGCAGGUCUCUGGGCAUUAACUGACGCU
This 682-nucleotide ribosomal RNA is filed under the name Arthrobacter sp. CAL639. RNAcentral's name for it is "bacterial SSU rRNA". It matches the Rfam family "Bacterial small subunit ribosomal RNA", at positions 53 to 747 of the family's 1533-position model. The record is from RNAcentral. Lineage: Bacteria; Bacillati; Actinomycetota; Actinomycetes; Micrococcales; Micrococcaceae.